GCUGGUUUGCCCGAGAGGUUAAGGGGGAAGACUUAAGAUCUUCUGCACAUAAGUGCACAUGGGUUCGAACCCCGUAGCCAGCA
Molecule: transfer RNA, 83 nt
Organism: Ipomoea nil (Japanese morning glory)
Lineage: Eukaryota; Viridiplantae; Streptophyta; Magnoliopsida; Solanales; Convolvulaceae
Rfam family: tRNA
About the family: Transfer RNA (tRNA) molecules are approximately 80 nucleotides in length. Their secondary structure includes four short double-helical elements and three loops (D, anti-codon, and T loops).
Source: Rfam